CCUCAGGUCAGGCGGGAUCACCCGCUGAAUUUAAGCAU
RNAcentral lists this ribosomal RNA (38 nucleotides) under Syngonanthus anthemidiflorus. Its description in RNAcentral is "partial 26S ribosomal RNA". The record is from RNAcentral. Lineage: Eukaryota; Viridiplantae; Streptophyta; Magnoliopsida; Poales; Eriocaulaceae. RNAcentral also lists the same sequence under 5 other names.